RNAcentral lists this long non-coding RNA (2661 nucleotides) under Helianthus annuus (common sunflower). RNAcentral's name for it is "hypothetical non coding rna". Lineage: Eukaryota; Viridiplantae; Streptophyta; Magnoliopsida; Asterales; Asteraceae. The record is from RNAcentral.
UUCGAAUAAUCGAAUCUUUGAUGAUGAACUAGUGUUCAUAUGUCGGGGUACUAGAUUACAUCAUCCUAGACUAUGAUAACUUGUCACGAUUCUAAUGGAACCUUGUUCCAUGAAAACAUCUAAACUCCUUCGAGUUUCCUAGUGUCAAGAACAAGCAUCAUAUGUACUAAAUGAUUAUUUUCCAUGUUAUUCUCAUAUCUUAUUUUUAUGUUGUUUUAAACACCGAAUCUCGACUCUAAACAUACUUGAACCUUAACCCUUAUACAUUCGGACUCUAAAUCUCUACUCGUCAACAAUUGGAUAAUCGGAAAACAUAUGCAAACUUUGUGAGUAUACUCGUACUUUUCCCCUUUUUACUUCUACUACUUUUGGGGUGUAACAUGUUUACCUAUUGAAACUUACACAUGAACUUUUGUCUAAACACAUGAACAUUCCUAUAACAUGCUUGUAUAUGUGAUGACUUGAUACUUUAAAUUUGGGUGAUUCUUAUGUGUUGAACUUAUCAUUAACUUCGUACGAGACAAACCUUGACAUAUGUAGCGCUAUAGGAUUAACGACCCGCCUCUACUGAAACUUUGGUUAUGUCAUGAGCAAGUUGCGUUUUCUUGGUUUGAUAUGUUAGACACAUGCCAUGUUUAAAUGUUUAUCUUGAAUCACAUGCUUGCUAUGAGGAAUUGUUCAAACUUAUCUUUUGCUAUGUUGAUGAGGACGAUGCUAAGAAAAGAAGUAGCGUUGAUGCCUAGAUACACAUAUAGACGUUAGGGUUUAAUAUGUUGUUGAUGCACUUAUGUCUGUACUUUGUCUGUAUUCGGUCUAUAUGUAAACGAUGUCCUAGUCAGUCCUGUAAGUUGACCAAGUCAACCGUCCUCCUGGUUUGACCUGGCCCAACAGUUAGUAAUAUAUUAUGUGAAGUGUCUGAGUCGAAGGAUGAGCAAUCAAAGGAUUAUGUCUAUCCUUCGAUUGGCUCGAAAGAUAAACCACGAAGGAUACUGAUGGACUUCGAAGGAUAUGCUAUCCUUCGAAGUAUAUAUGGAUCCUUCGAUGGCAAUUGUGGUCGACAGAUGGUCCUUCGGACAGUCUGUCUAAUCCUUUGACCAGACCUGCUGUGUGUGGGUAUAAAUACCCAUGUAGUGUGUUGUGUUAGAGAGACUUGAGAGGCUUGUGAGAUAGAUGCACACAUAGAGAGAGCUAGAGAGCAUCUAUCCAAACACACACACACACACUAGAGAGUUUGCAAGUUAGAUUUGUAAACAUUGUGCUUGUAACCGGAACCUUCAUUCGUAUUAAUACAGUGGUGUUAAUCGGUGAAUCCUUGUGUGUUUGUGUUUGUGCUUGUCUCAACCCGGUUUGCUUGCUAGCUUGGAUUCCGCACUCGCUAGUGGGUUUGUAUAACAAGGUUUAGGUUCGUCAUCCUCCGGAAAGGGACCUACAAGUGGUAUCAGAGCUAAGGCUCUUUACCUUGUUUAAAAUCGGGUUUUUGUUCAAGUCUUGGGUUGUUUUUUUUUGGUCAGAUCUGGAAAACCCAGUCACCGUGUUCUUGCUGUGUUCUUGAAGUUCUUGAGAUCUUCAUAUUUCGAAAGAUCAUAUAUCAGUUUGAAAGAUCAACUGUUUCGAAGGGUCAACCACCUUUUUGUCUCGAAAGAUCAAGCUAAAAUCUCGAAGGAUAUUCACAGUGUCGAAGGGUCAACCCAAACAAUUCGAAGGGUCAUCUUUGUUUUUCGAAGGAUCAAGCUAAACUUCGAAGGGUCAAAUUUAUUUGUUGUUAGUGGUGCACCUCCCUAGGUUCUCUGACCAUUCCACUGCCCAAGAAAACAAAUAAACUUUGUUGACUUUUGCUUGUGAUCCGUUCAAGGCACUGCCGCCUGACAAGAAAAAUCAAAAGGAUUUUGCAUGUUUAAACUUUAUCAAAGCCAAAGUGGUCACAAACAAUCAAUCCAUUCCACCGCCCAAAGUUCAGUGUCCAAGGAACCUCCCCAAGUGACCAAUUAAGUCACAUUGUGUCACAUUAAAGGCACUGCCCAAGAAAACAAAUUAAUUUUGUUUGAUUAUGCCGCCCAAGUGACCUAUAAAAUUCGUUUGUUUGUUCUUGUUGUGCGCCGCCCAAGUCACUUUGAUUGGUUGUUGUUGGAUUCAAGUCAAAGCACUCCAACAAGAAAAUAAUUUUUAAAAAGGCCCACUUUCCGUUUGAGAUAGUGCACCGCCCAAAGGUUUUUUUUUUUUUGUUGAUUGGUGUUGAAGAAAAAGUUCACCGUCAUGAUCUUGAAUUAAAAAAAAAAAAAAAAUAUAGGGAUAUAGUGCACCGCCCCAACCACCCAAUGGGCUUUGUUUGAUUUUUGUUGGUGUUCUCGGCUCAUGUAACCAACCGCCAAAUUGACCAAUAGGCUUUCUUGUUUGUUGUUUUGUUGGGUGUGCUCACUGCCCAAAACAAUCUCCCCCCGAUACCACCGCCCCAAUUAACCACUAAUUGUUGUUGUUGGAUUCAAGAUAAGGCCAUCGUCCAAGACAUUUGACUGUCAUUUUUGUUGAUAGUGGCACCGUCCAAAUAGGCCACUAAUAAGUGUUUGUUGGCUGUUGACCACCGCCCAAGAUUCAACCACUUUCACAAACUUGAUAAACAUUUCAAAACAAUUAUUUGUUGUGUGUGUUUUCGGCCCAUGUGCU